AAGAGAGGUCCGGGACAAAAAGAACUGCUAAUUCUUUUACUCAUGGUUCAACUCCAUGGCUCACUUG
This 67-nucleotide transfer RNA is filed under the name Leucoraja garmani (rosette skate). RNAcentral describes it as "tRNA-Ser". The record is from RNAcentral. Lineage: Eukaryota; Metazoa; Chordata; Chondrichthyes; Rajiformes; Rajidae.